RNAcentral lists this long non-coding RNA (1949 nucleotides) under Phoenix dactylifera (date palm). Its description in RNAcentral is "long non-coding RNA (PDAC_LNC013557)". The record is from RNAcentral. Lineage: Eukaryota; Viridiplantae; Streptophyta; Magnoliopsida; Arecales; Arecaceae.
CUCUCUCUCGCUGGGAGCCAUGGCGACAUUCUCGUGGGCAUCCUUCCGGUUCCGCACCGGCUGAUGAAACUCCUUUAUAAGAGCCCGGAGGUUGAGGUUGUGGCGAUGGAUUGGAUUCUGAGGCACCAUGGUGUUGGGCUUGGAUCGAUUCUAUUGCUUCUCUUCUCUAAAUGCUCUUCGCGGUUAGUUUUUUUCGAAGCUUUCUAUCUAUAUAUCUUCUAUCGAAAUCAUUCAAUGGCACUAUAAUAUUUUGUGCCAGUUCUUAUUCUGUUCAUUCUUUUGAUACUAUACGUGAAAUUUGGCGAUUGCCUUCUUUUGUGGCACUCUGGUCCAGAACCAAUAGCUCACCAGAAUAAAUAACAAAAUAGUAAACUGAACCAGAAUUUUUCAUGUUCUUCUUGAAGUUCUUUUUUUCCUGGUACUGAUGUUCUUCUAGGAGUUUGAUGAGAAUUUCUUUCACAACCUCUUUUUUACAUUGUGGAGGCAUACAUGAUUUUGGUUAUUUUGGACAGAGAUUCUGUUUCUACAUAUGUAGGCUGUGUUAAGAUGAUCUUUCUCAUCAAGUUUCUUUAGAUGAAUUGGUCCCUUUUGUUUUCUUUCAUUUGCCGUUUGAAUUGAGUGAAUUUCUGUGCUUCUCUACCUGUGGUACCACUCUAUGAUUGUUUAUUAUUUGAGUUUGUAUGAAUAUAACUUUUUUGGAGUUCUAGCUCCAUGUAUUGACCUUCAUGUUGUUAUGGUUGACUGAUUUCCAUCUAAUGCAUACAGGAACAGCUGGAGAUUUAAUGUAGUUUCUUCUCCAGGAACUGGUGCAAAUAAUGUUGGCUCUAAAAAUCAGGAUUACUUGAAAUUAUUUGAGGUUCCUUUCACUCUGGAGGGUUCUAGUCAUUCUUUUUGUGGUUUCUAGUAUGAACAUCAAGAUUAUGGGGGCCAACUGUUGUGUGGUUGCUCCAAGGAAGAAACCUUUGUUUUCCUACUACAAGAUGAGCGGCAGUCAUUCUGCUCAUAGGAAUGCUGGAUGCUCCUCUAGAUGGAGCUUUCUACGUGGCAACCGAACUCAUACAAUGGAUGUUUUCGUCAACCAUUCAGAGUUUUCUCAUCACAACAGUGGGAAUAUUGACUCAGAAUUUAAGCAUCGCGUAGAAACAGAUCAUGAAGGUCUUCUAGCUGGGAAGACACCGGUAGCAGCUUCUCAGGCACUCAGACAGCUGAAGUCUCCUGAUUAAUUGAGCAUUGGUUGUAGCUCCAAAGUGGCUGCUGAAGGUAAAAUAUUUGGACUGUGUUCUAUAUCAUUCUUAUCUUUGCUUGGUUAACCUUUCUCAUAAUAUUUUCUAGAUUAUCAGAUAUUAUAGCAACUUAUAAUUCUUUUUUCACUGGUUGAUUGAUUCUAGAAAUUAUAUCUUAAUAAUUAACCCAAGUUAUAUGCAAAUAUCCAUUAAAUAUUCAUAACUUAUUGAAAUAUCUUAUUAGUUCCUAUUGCAUUGCCAAUUUUAUGGUUGGUCCAUCUCCUAUGCUAGUUAUCUUUUGCAUGCAUGCACUUGUAAGUUGGUUGCACUACUUUUUAUUUGUUCUAUUCUCUAUCUAUAGCUCGUCUUGUAACUCUAAUCAACCAUCAACAGCUGUGUUGCUUUUACAUGGAAUAACUAUGUUAUACAAAAAUGAACUGUAUAUGUGGAAAUAAUAGCUGGCAAUGGCAUGUUUAUGGUGAUGAAGGUCUAAACUAUAGUUUUUCUGCCUUUUGAGGUAGGGAAGCAUCUCUUUUAAUAAUACUUGCUUACUGUAUAUUAGGGAAAACAUUCUUGUGCUGAGAAGCUUUUAUCUAUAGAAAUUUCUAAUAGUUACAUGAUAUUUUACAAUAUGAAGAAAUGCUGUUAUAUAUAAAAUUUUUACCCUAAUUUAACAAAAUAGCAGAGCGGCCCUUACCUUUGACUUAUGAAAGAAUUUACAAAUCA